This 526-nucleotide long non-coding RNA is filed under the name Homo sapiens (human). Its description in RNAcentral is "EDRF1 antisense RNA 1". The record is from RNAcentral. Lineage: Eukaryota; Metazoa; Chordata; Mammalia; Primates; Hominidae.
GAGGCACUGGAGACAAAGAUCAGCCACGUGGCAGUCAACCAUGUCUAUCUGACCAAGUUCCAAUGAAAACUCUGGACACCAAGGCUUGGGAGAUAUUUCUCAAAAGACUCCUCUGCGGGAGAGGAGAAUAGCAAAUGCUACUCUCUCUAGCUGUACUCUAAGCAGUUCGCAGGGAGCAUCUUUCAGCAGCUGAAACAGCUUUGCGGCCUUGCUGUAAUGAAGAUCUGCCAGCACCCGGUGUUGUUUCCUAAGGUGUUCAUCACCAACCUAGAACCAAACCAAAACAAGCAACAAAUCCUUCACGAGAAAGAAAGAAAACAACUGUGUAAGCAGACAUCAGUGUAAACCUUAGCACUGUCUCUUGAUGAGAUAAGAGGAGGAUGGCAGUGACAGGAGUGUGGUGGCGAGCCAGUCACCUGCAGUCAACCACGGCUCAUUGCUCUCACCAUGCCUGUUACAUGAAGGUAUGUAUGUAUAGGAAAAAGCACUGAAAAACUCUCCAGUUUCAGGCAUCCACUGGGGAUCU